GUGGGGAAUAUUGGACAAUGGGCGAAAGCCUGAUCCAGCCAUGCCGCGUGUGUGAAGAAGGCCUUCGGGUUGUAAAGCACUUUAAGCGAGGAGGAAGGUUCGUCACCUAAUACGUGACGGAAUUGACGUUACUCGCAGAAUAAGCACCGGCUAACUCUGUGCCAGCAGCCGCGGUAAUACAGAGGGUGCAAGCGUUAAUCGGAAUUACUGGGCGUAAAGCGCGCGUAGGUGGUUUUGUAAGUUGGAGGUGAAAUCCCCGGGCUCAACCUGGGAACUGCCUCCAAAACUGCAGGACUAGAGUACGGUAGAGGGUAGUGGAAUUUCCUGUGUAGCGGUGAAAUGCGUAGAUAUAGGAAGGAACACCAGUGGCGAAGGCGACUACCUGGACUGAUACUGACACUGAGGUGCGAAAGCGUGGGGAGCAAACAGGAUUAGAUACCCUUGUAGUCC
Molecule: ribosomal RNA, 450 nt
Filed under: uncultured bacterium
Lineage: Bacteria
Description: partial 16S ribosomal RNA
Rfam family: Bacterial small subunit ribosomal RNA
Source: RNAcentral